RNAcentral lists this long non-coding RNA (1934 nucleotides) under Homo sapiens (human). RNAcentral's name for it is "HSALNT0377893". Lineage: Eukaryota; Metazoa; Chordata; Mammalia; Primates; Hominidae. The record is from RNAcentral.
UCAUACUAUACCAGACCUCACAAAUUAUGCAGCAAUGAUGACUGGUUAUUAAAAAGUGUAAUUAAGCCAGAAGUUCCAGAAUUUAGGAGACUGUGGAUUAGAGGCCUAGAUUCCUCAAAGUAUCUGCAGCAAAUCCUGAUUCCCAAAUCUCUAGCUUCUCCCAAUGUAAAGUGGGUGCUUAUUCUUGCCUGCAGACAGUUAGCAUCUGGCUAAUAUUAACUUCAAAUAUGUAAUUUUGGAGACCCUCAAAUAGAACAGGUUAUAAAAACGUAACACCCUCCUGGCAUUGUGAGACCCUUGUUAGCCACAUGUUUAUGCCAGGAGAUCAGUGCAAAGAAAAUUGGAGGCAAGCCUGGGGUUUGAGACUUACUUCUGCCACGAACUUGGUACACUGAGUGAGUCACAUAUCCAAAUUCUUUCUUCUUUCAUCUGUAAAUUGAAGCUUUUAGCUCAGCUUCCCUCUGAGUCCAUUCUGAUUCUGACAAACACCUCCCUCCCCAUGUUCGGCCCACAUGGCGACAGCCUUCCUGGCCUUCCCAUCCACUUCUCUGUCUCACACCCUUAGGGGGGCAGAUUGGACCAUUUUGCUCUACUUCUCUCCACCUAGAAUGUCCUUCUUCCCGUUCCACUGCAUUUCUAUGUUUUUAAAUUCCUACUUCAAGUCUCAGGGCAAACGCCACCCGCUCUGAGAAGCAUUCCCUGAUACCACAGAGGCAAAGAGUCUCCCCUCCUUUAUGAUUUUGCUGCUCUUUACCUAUACUUCUCUUCAGCACCUGCCCUUUUCUCUUUUGGGUUAUGAUGAUUUCAGGAGCCUUUUUGCAACAGCCAGGUCUCCAGGGGCAUGACUGACAUUGAUUUAUCCAUCCCACAGGGUCCAGCUCAGUGGCCAGCACAAAGCAGGAACCAAGGAAAUGGCUGAUUAACAGUCACAUGUGCACAGACACAUUGUAUUUUGUGCAGAGCAUCUGGGCUCGACUUAAACACUGAUGUUCAGCCGAUAGGAUUUGGUUCCUGGUAUACCCGCACUGUCUCUCUCCUACAAUUCAGGCCGGCAGUCUUGGACUCUGAGUCAGACUGCCUGAGUUCAAAGCCUGGCUCUGCCACUUCCCAGCUAUGAGAGCUUGGACAAGUUGCUGAACUUCUCUGUGCCUCCAUUGCUCACCUAUGCAGUGAAGAUAAUGACAGUAUUCUCUUCAUACAGCUGCCGUGCAGAUAAAAUGAGCGAAUACUUGUAAGACACUUGAAAAAGUACCCAGUGUAAAGCAAGCUCUCAAAAAAUGCUACUAGCUUUAAAUAGUAUUUUUACUACUACUAAUCAAAAGAUAACAACCAUGGGACUUCUUGCCAGUUAGCAGUAUCCUUCUCUAAUGAUAUGGAACCUGGGGACCAGUGGGGCAAAGAAGAAUUAACAGCACCUACAUAGCUCUGAUUAUGUCAAGCACUUCGUCUAAAUGUUUGCACAGAUGAACUCAUUUAAGCCCCAGAACAACUCCGUGAGUAACCUUAACAUCUGGACGCAGACAGCCCCAGCAAUCCUGGAGGAAACCUUGGAAAUACGCGGGUCAUCUUCUAUGAAGACCACAGCAGCCCUGAGAAACCAAUACAGCGUUCCAAUCUUUAAAAGAAGAGCCAAACGUCAUGCCUGGAUUAUUCCAGAAUUUUGCUGCUACGAACAAUGCUGCUAAGAUGAGUGUCUUCAAUCACUUGCACAAUUGUUUCUCUAGUCUAUAAUAUAUUCCUUGGAGUGGAGAUGCCAAGUCAUAAAUAUGUAAGAGUUCAACUUCCAUAGGCAUCACCACAACGUUUUCCAAUGUGGUUUGCGAAUGCACACUUCCACCAGCAUUCGAUUAGCAUUCCCUUUGUUCCACACACUUGUGCAUACCUGGCAUGGUCAGAGUCUAAUUUUUUCCAGUUUAGUGAAUUAAAAUGAUAUC